Non-coding RNA from Salmo salar (Atlantic salmon), 6746 nucleotides. The record is from RefSeq and is a predicted model, not a curated record. Lineage: Eukaryota; Metazoa; Chordata; Actinopteri; Salmoniformes; Salmonidae.
CCCCAAGAUAUAGGUAUAUAGAAUAGCCUAAAGAGCAAUACAAAUCUGUACAUACAGUAUAUGUAGAAUAACUCAAUGUCUGCUCUAUUGCAGACUUGCUGUCCUUUGCCUUUGAGGGAAUUGUGGAAUCUUGGAAGUGGCAAGAAGAAGCAAGAUGUGACAAAGAAUAAUUUGAAGGAAUCUGCAGCUCGUGCGGGGGGAGGGGAGGCAGCUCAGUGCAACACAGCCUGACUGGAUGAGUAGCAACAGCAGCAGCAGCAAUAGCACUAGCAGCAUCUCCUUUGUGGCUUGCUGGGGGGCUCGGUCACUAGAGCACCGCGCUCCCGCUCACAGACACACAGGCGCUCCCAGCGCCACCGUCACACACACGUAGUGGCAGUGGCAGUCGUCGUCAGAGCCGGGGCUGGGGCAGGGACAGGGACCGCUACCUUGACGACUGGAGCUACGGCGACAGCAGCUGCGGCACCAUGGCGCAAGCCGCCAAGCAGCUCCGCAAGAACAAGGACCUAGCAGAGCUCGCCGCUCAGGAGCUGAAGGAUAAGGAGGAGGAGAAGAACAAGAAGAGGAAUCGAUCAAGGGACCGCAGACGCAAGGCGGAUGCUGUCACCAGUUUCCUCCGUGCGGCCCGUUCAGGGAACCUUGACAAGGCUCUUGACCACAUCAAGAAUGGAAUAGACAUCAACACAUCAAAUCAGAAUGGGCUCAACGGUUUGCAUCUGGCCUCGAAAGAAGGCCACGUCAAGAUGGUCCUGGGGCUACUACACGCUGGCAUUGUCUUGGAGACCACCACUAAGAAAGGGAACACUGCCCUCCAUAUCGCUGCGUUGGCAGGCCAAGAGAAAGUGGUGGCUGAGCUCGUCAACUAUGGAGCCAAUGUCAAUUCCCAGUCCCAGAAAGGCUUCAGUCCCCUCUACAUGGCGGCACAAGAGAACCACUUAGAGGUAGUUAAGUUCCUGUUAGAGAAUGGAGCCAAUCAGAGCCUUCCAACAGAGGAUGGGUUCACGCCGCUGGCGGUGGCUCUCCAGCAGGGUCAUGAGAACAUGGUGGCCCUGCUCAUCAACUACGGCACCAAGGGCAAAGUCCGUCUUCCCGCUUUGCACAUCGCUGCACGCAACGACGACACACGCACUGCCGCAGUGCUAUUGCAGAAUGACCCUAACCCUGACGUCCUCAGCAAGACUGGCUUCACUCCUCUCCACAUCGCGGCUCACUAUGAGAACCUGAGUGUGGCCCAACUGCUAAUUAACAGAGGAGCCAAUGUCAACUAUACUCCCAAGAAUGGGAUCACCCCCCUGCACAUAGCUUCUAGGAGGGGUAAUGCGAUCAUGGUUCGGCUUUUGCUGGACAGAGGGGCCCAGAUAGACGCAAUGACCAAGGAUGAGCUGACCCCUUUGCACUGUGCGGCCAGGAACGGUCACGUGAGGAUCAUCGAUCUCCUGCUUGACCAGGGGGCUCCCAUCCAGGCCAAGACCAAGAAUGGCCUGUCCCCCAUUCACAUGGCGGCCCAGGGAGACCACAUGGACUGUGUGAGGCAGCUCCUUCAGUAUAACGCUGAGAUCGAUGACAUCACGCUGGACCACCUGACCCCUCUACACGUGGCGGCCCACUGUGGUCACCACCGCAUGGCCAAAGUGCUGCUGGACAAGGGGGCCAAGGCCAACGCACGUGCACUGAAUGGGUUCACUCCCCUCCACAUUGCCUGUAAGAAGAACCACAUGCGCUCCAUGGACCUGCUUCUGAAACACUCGGCCUCCCUGGAGGCCGUCACAGAGUCUGGUCUGACCCCCCUGCAUGUAGCAGCCUUCAUGGGCCACCUGAACAUUGUGAAGAACCUGCUCCACAGAGGUGCUUCUCCCAAUGCCUCCAAUGUGAAAGUGGAGACGCCCCUCCACAUGGCGUCCAGGGCAGGCCACUGUGAGGUGGCUCAGUUCCUGCUGCAGAACACAGCCCAGGUGGACGCCAAGGCGAAGGAUGACCAGACCCCUCUGCACUGUGCGGCCCGUAUGGGACAUAAGGAGCUGGUCAAGCUGCUCCUGGAGCACAAAGCCAAUCCUGACUCGGCUACCACCGCUGGCCACACCCCCUUACACAUCGCCGCCCGUGAGGGACACGCCCACACCACCCGCAUUCUCCUGGACGGGGCGGCCCAACAAACCAAGAUGACAAAGCAGAAAGGCUUCACUCCUCUCCAUGUGGCCUGUAAGUACGGCAAGGUGGACGUGGUCGAGCUGCUGCUGGAGAGAGGAGCCAACCCCAACGCGGCUGGAAAGCAGAACGGCCUGACUCCUCUACACGUGGCCGUCCAUCACAACAACCUGGACGUGGUCAAGCUGCUGGUCAGCAAGGGAGGCAACGCACACAGCACUGCCCGGAACGGCUACACUCCUCUGCACAUUGCAGCCAAGCAGAACCAGAUGGAGGCGGCCGGCUGCCUGCUGCAGUAUGGAGCCUCUGCCAACGCUGAGUCCCUCCAGGGGGUCACGCCCCUCCACCUGGCCUCACAGGAGGGCCAGCCAGACAUGGUGGCCCUGCUCAUCUCCAAACAGGGCAACGUCAACCUGGGGAACAAGAAUGGACUGACCCCUCUGCACCUGGUGGCCCAGGAAGGUCACGUAGGGAUAGCAGACACCCUGGUCAAACAGGGGGCAUCAGUCUACACAGCCUCACGGAUGGGCUACACAGCGCUUCAUGUGGCCUGUCACUAUGGCAACAUCAAGAUGGUGAAGUUCCUCCUGCAGCAGCAGGCUCAUGUGAACAGCAAGACCAGAGUGGGCUACACUCCCCUGCACCAGGCCGCCCAGCAGGGUCAUACUGACAUAGUCACCCUGCUGCUCAAACACGGAGCCCAGCCCAACGAGAUCACCACCAAUGGGACCUCUCCUCUGGGCAUUGCCAAACGACUGGGUUACAUCUCUGUCAUUGAUGUGCUGAAGUUGGUCACCGAGGAGGCCGUUUCCGUGAUCACCACAGAGAAACAUCGGAUGAGUUUCCCUGAGACAGUAGAUGAGAUAUUGGAUGUUUCAGAGGAUGAGGGCGUUGCAGCGCUAACGUUAGGUGAUGAGUUGCUGGGGAUGGAUGGUGCUCGCUACCUAAAGCUUGACGACCUCAAGGACCAGGAUGAUGAUUUCCUGUCCCCUAAGAAGACCCUGAGAGACUUUGAGGGCGGCCUGGGCACCACGCCCUACUCUCCUGCUAUUCCCAGAAUCCCAUGCGUGUCCCCUGAAACUGUCCUGCUUGAGGGGCACACCCCUGUCCCCUUGCCUAAGGAGUAUGAUGAGGACUCUCUGAUCCCCAGCAGUCCUGCUACAGAGACCUCCGACAAUGUUAGCCCAGUGGCCAGCCCCAUACACACAGGGUUCCUGGUCAGUUUCAUGGUGGAUGCCCGGGGGGGCUCCAUGCGUGGCAGCAGACACCACGGGCUGCGUGUCAUCAUCCCCCCUCGGACCUGUGCUGCCCCCACCCGCAUCACCUGUCGUCUGGUCAAACCCCAGAAACUCAACACCCCACCCCCGCUGGUAGAGGGAGAGGGCCUGGCCAGCCGUAUCAUCUCCCUGGGGCCCUCCAGUAUGCAGUUCCUAGGGCCAGUGAUAGUGGAGAUUCCCCACUUCGCUUCUCUGGGUCGAGGGGACCGGGAGCUGGUUGUUCUGCGCAGUGAGAACGGCUCUGUCUGGAAGGAGCAUCGCAAUCGCUAUGGCGAUGAGGUGCUGGAGACCAUUUUGAAUGGCAUGGAUGAAGACCUGGAGAGUCACGAGGACUUGGAGAAGAAGAGAAUCCGCCGCAUCAUCUCCACGGACUUCCCCCUCUACUUCGCUGUGGUGUCCCGCGUCCAGCAGGAGAGCGACCUGAUUGGCCCAGAGGGCGGUCAGCUGGCCAGCAUGCUGGUCCCUCAUGUCCAAGCCAUCUUCCCUGAGACAGCGGUCACCAAGAAAGUUCGACUGGGGCUGCAGGCUCAGCCUAUCCCAGACGAGCUUCUGACUCGACAGCUUGGUAACCAAGCAACCUUCAGCCCAGUGGUCACGGUCGAGCCACGACGACGCAAGUUCCACCGGCCAAUAGGAUUACGCAUCCCGCUGCCCCCAUCUUGGAGGGAGAGUCCACGUGACGCUGGGGAGGGGGACACCACCAGCCUGCGCCUCCUCUGCAGUGUCAUUGGUGGAACAGCACCUGCCCAGUGGGAGGACAUCACUGGCACCACCAAGCUGUUGUACACCAACAACUGCGCCAACUUCACCACCAACGUCUCUGCAAGGUUCUGGCUGGCAGACUGCCCCCGCACAGCUGAGGUGGUGACCUUCGCCAACCUGCUGUACCGGGAGCUGAUGGCCGUGCCCUACAUGGCCAAGUUUGUAAUAUUUGCCAAAAUGAACGAGGCGCGCGAGGGCCGCCUACGCUGCUACUGCAUGACCGACGACAAGAUGGACAAAACCCUGGAGCUGCACGAGAACUUCAGCGAGGUGGCCCGGAGCAGGGAUAUAGAGGUGAUGGAGGGCAUGCCGCUGCACCUGGAGUGCUCUGGUAACCUGGUGCCUGUGAGGAAGGCCACUCAGCAGCCACGCAGCUUCAGCUUCCAAGCCUUCAGAGAUAACAGACUGCCCGUUUCUGUCAAGGUCAGAGACAGCAAUAAGGAAGCCUCUGGGUUCCUUUCUUUCCUGCGGAAGUCUACCAAGUAUGAGGAUGCACAGCACGUGCUGUGUAACCUCAACAUCACCAUGCCACCCUGUGUCAAGGUUGUUGGGAGUGAGGAACGGAGGCGAACUCUGACCCCGUUGGCCCUGAGGGAGCGCUACAACGCGCUGAACGAGCCCGGUCUGGCUACAGUGAAUGCUAUGGAGAGGACCGAGCUCAAGAUCUCCCUCAUAUCUGAACAGCUCGGAUUGAGCUGGGCAGAGUUGGCGCGGGAGCUGCAUUUUGGUGUGGAUGACAUUAACAGAAUCAGGGUGGAGAAUCCUAACUCCCUCCUGGACCAGAGUUCAGCCCUGCUCAACCUGUGGGCUGGCCGGGAGGGCAAGAGGGCCAAGAUGGAGAGUAUAUAUGUAGCUUUGAAGAACAUUGACCGUUCAGACAUUGUGAGUUCCGUGGAGGGCCAGCCACAGGCAGGGGCCGGGGCCUCAGAGGAGGGGGCCUGCAGACUGGUUGACCACGACUCCACCCUGCUCUCCCCCAGUAUUAUCAAUGGUUACGGACUUGUGCAGGAAGAGCUGCUCUCCCCAGCCUCCAUGCAGUACAGUCUGCCCUCUCCGCUGGGAGCUGAGCCCUACUGGCAGGAGGUCUCCAGCCUGGAGUGUGCCCCCAUCGCCACCACCGAAGAAGACACCCUGAUGGAGAUGUCAGACGUGCAGGUGUGGCCCUCGGGGGUCAGCCCCUCCCUGGUCACAGUGGAGGACUCGUCCCUGGAUGGCAGCAGCCGGGCGGAUGACUCAGAGGGGGCCACCCUGUCCCUGCCCUGCAGCCUGGGGCGCCCCAGCAGUGGGGCCAGUGGCUCCAUCAUGGAGCUGGAGGAGGAGGAAGAGGAGGAGGAGGAAGGGGAAGUAGAGGAGGAGGAGGAGGCGCGGCAGGAGCUGGCGGACAGGGACAGGGUGAGGGCCAGCGGCGCCGUGCCAAAGGUCAACCUGAAUGGCCAGCUGGGAGGUCAGAGGUCGGAGGGCAGGAGGGGGGAGGGAGCAGCAUCAGUGGCGGGCAGCAGUGUGACUGGAGGAGGAGCGAGGGGAGGAGGAGGACUAAGACAGAGUUCAGAGGAAGGGCUUUCUGUUGUUGCAGGGCAGCAGGUUUACGCCCAGCUGUGUGAGAUGUCAGGACUGAGCCGAGCCAUGGAGCACAAUGGAGACAGGGUGGUUGGGGGCGGUGCGUUCCAGCCGUACCUCCCCAACAAGGACUCCCUGCGCGGCUGGGCAGGGUCGCAGGCACCCAGGCUGCCCCGGCAGAGUGUGGAGACGCUGAUGAUGUCACCAAGGUCUCGUGUACCCCAAGAGGCUCUGCUGACACCGGUGUGUGACAUGGGGGCACUCGGAGGUGCUGUGCAGGCACCUGUUUGGGACACAGCCCUUCGACAAGGUGUUGGGCUUCUCACAACAAGAGGCAGGGCUCCAGGUUGUCAUGCCGACCGACCACCUGCCGCUUCCUCUGCCUGGAGGAGGGACUUCCUGUCCAUACCUGCGAUAGAUCGGACAAUAUUUUAAUUGGGUUUCAAUCAUGAAAAUUCCAACCAUCAAAACCCACAUUUUGACGUUAUGCCACGUCAUUAUCUGAAAUUGGCUUAAUGGGGCAAAGUUGUGUUGUGUGGUUUGUAAACCUGUGUACUAAUGUCAUGUGGUUAUUUUAUGUGUUAUAUCCUGAUGUUUUGACACAGAUUGAUGCCGAUAAAGAGGACUAUGCUGUUGAGUUUCUGGCUGAGGAGCAGCUGGUGGACGAACAUGGAAACGUUGUCACUAGGAAGGUGGGGGUGGAUGUGAGGAAGGGUACUCAGUCAGUGAAGCGCACCAGUCUGCGGAGAGUUAAACACUGAAACACACAUACCCAGUCCUCAAGAACCGGACAUCCACUGCCAAACCAUCCUCCACAAACAAAAAGCCAGGUGACAGAGGAAAACAGGGAGAAGAUUGAGAGGAGAGGAGAGGAGACUAGAGAAGACUGAAAGAAGGACUAAGAUCAGCAAACAACAAAUACAAACACAAAAUCAUCUGCAGAAUGACCCUGGAUCGCCACAACAAGAGGAAACGAGAAGGAGAUCUACUUGUAGUUUUGUAACA